GAGGGUAGAACUCAGUGGUAGAGCACGUGCUUAGCACGCAUGAGGUCCUGGGUUCAAUCCCCAGCACCUCCG
This 72-nucleotide transfer RNA is filed under the name Camelus bactrianus (Bactrian camel). It matches the Rfam family "tRNA". From Rfam's summary of the family: Transfer RNA (tRNA) molecules are approximately 80 nucleotides in length. Their secondary structure includes four short double-helical elements and three loops (D, anti-codon, and T loops). RNAcentral also lists the same sequence under 2 other names. The record is from Rfam by way of RNAcentral. Lineage: Eukaryota; Metazoa; Chordata; Mammalia; Artiodactyla; Camelidae.